This 731-nucleotide long non-coding RNA is filed under the name Homo sapiens (human). RNAcentral's name for it is "non-protein coding lnc-TLE3-12:1". Lineage: Eukaryota; Metazoa; Chordata; Mammalia; Primates; Hominidae. The record is from RNAcentral.
GCAGCGGUGAAGGCAUGAACAUUGAAAGCUACCAGGCCUUGGUAUUCUCAUCCGAUAUAUGCAAGAUACUGGCAACAUUAUCAUCAAGCAAUGGCUUCGAUGCAAAGCCACCACAAUGCCUACAGGAAGGCCGGGGAAUCCUGUUGCAGUCUUCCUUGGUACUUCCCUCCUGCACUUCCUCCCCAAAGCUGUUACGAUAACCAGGCUGCGUAUCCUUAGUCCUUCUAUGGCCAUCAUGUGACCUGGCAGGACUCCCCGUGCAGUUCUUUACAUUUCAGAGGGUCUGGGCAGCAGCCACAUGACAGCAGUAGAAUCCAGGCAUCCACAAGAGAAGACCAAGAUUUGUCCAAAGAGGAAGAGAUGGAGAUCAAGUUAGAUGCAGAGGUAGAAUGUGACCUGAGCAAUAUGGAAAUCACCAAAGAGCUCCGCCAGUACUCUGCAGAGUGCCUCGGUAGAGGCACAGAGAAGGACGGUGGUGACAGCAGCUGGAUGCAGAGCACCUGGAAAGCUAUGUGAAGGCUGACCACGACCUGACCUGUACUGCAACACCCGCUGGUUGGUAGAGGCCCCAACUGAGAGGCCUAGAGAGCAGCGUCCCAGGCCGAGAUGAAGCGAUUGUAUGGGGACAGCGCCAAGAUCCAGGCCAUGGAGGCUGCGGUGCAGCUGAGCUUUGACAAGCACUGUGACCAAAAGCAGCCCAAGUACUGGCAGGUCAUCCCCCUGAAGUUCUG